This 377-nucleotide ribosomal RNA is filed under the name uncultured bacterium. RNAcentral describes it as "bacterial SSU rRNA". It matches the Rfam family "Bacterial small subunit ribosomal RNA", at positions 521 to 896 of the family's 1533-position model. The record is from RNAcentral.
UAAUACAGAGGGUGCGAACGUUGCUCGGAAUUACUGGGCGUAAAGCGCGUGUAGGCGGGUUCGCAAGUCAGACGUGAAAUCCCCGGGCUCAACCCGGGAACUGCGUCUGAAACUGCGAGCCUUGAGUACCGGAGAGGGUGGCGGAAUUCCUGGUGUAGAGGUGAAAUUCGUAGAUAUCAGGAGGAACACCGGUGGCGAAGGCGGCCACCUGGACGGUAACUGACGCUGAGACGCGAAAGCGUGGGGAGCAAACAGGAUUAGAUACCCUGGUAGUCCACGCCGUAAACGAUGGGUGCUAGGUGUCUCGGGUAUUGACCCCUGAGGUGCCGUAGCUAACGCGUUAAGCACCCCGCCUGGGAAGUACGGUCGCAAGACUA